RNAcentral lists this ribosomal RNA (441 nucleotides) under uncultured bacterium. Its description in RNAcentral is "partial 16S ribosomal RNA". It matches the Rfam family "Bacterial small subunit ribosomal RNA", at positions 338 to 795 of the family's 1533-position model. The record is from RNAcentral.
CCUACGGGGUGCAGCAGUGAGGAAUAUUGGUCAAUGGGCGGGAGCCUGAACCAGCCAAGCCGCGUGAAGGAAGACGGUUUUCGGAUUGGAAACUUCUGUUUGUAGUGAAGAAUAAUGACGGUAGCUAAGGAGCAAGCCACGGCUAACUACGUGCCAGCAGCCGCGGUAAUACGUAGGUGGCAAGCGUUGUCCGGAAUUACUGGGUGUAAAGGGAGCGCAGGCGGGAAGCCAAGUCAGCUGUGAAAACUACGGGCUUAACUUGUAGACUGCAGUUGAAACUGGUUUUCUUGAGUGAAGUAGAGGUUGGCGGAAUUCCGAGUGUAGCGGUGAAAUGCGUAGAUAUUCCGAGGAACACCGGUGGCGAAGGCGGCCAACUGGGCUUUAACUGACGCUGAGGCUCGAAAGUGUGGGUAGCAAACAGGAUUAGAUACCCCUGUAGUC